This is a long non-coding RNA of Nilaparvata lugens (brown planthopper), 899 nucleotides long. RefSeq lists it as uncharacterized. The record is from RefSeq and is a predicted model, not a curated record. The transcript has 2 exons. NCBI's taxonomy places the organism in Eukaryota, Metazoa, Arthropoda, Insecta, Hemiptera, Delphacidae.
GUCGCCAUCGCCAUUUUGCUCUAUCCCAUCCCAUCUUUCAUACGCGUUUACAUUGAAUUUGAUAGUUUUGCUACUUUAAUUUUAAUUAAAUAGCAAUUAUGGGGGGUUGCUCCUAAUUGUUGUAAUAAUAAUGCCAAAGGCUUUCGAACGUUUCGUUUUCCGUCUAGUAGUUGAAGAAGAAGUAAAAUUUAGUUACAACAUUUUAGACGUACCAACUACCAAGUAAAAACCAACUUCCAGACUGAGGUUAUGAAAACUAGUGGAAUUGUUGGAUCUUCAAAUAUUAGUGGAACCUGUGAAACUGGCAAAUGUGAUGUAGAGGAUGAAGUUGCACAUAUUCAUGAGGUUAGUAAUCGAAUUCCUAUCAUUUGACUGAAAUUAUUGUCUGAAACACAACUUUUUCUUUAAUAGCUGCGCAGCUACAGGAACAAGGUGGCACCUAUUCUAUAGAAUAAUACCGUACAAUUGAGCUUUAUGUGACACAAUAAUUUAUAUCAUUCUGAUACUCCGAGACUGCAAUAGUAUAAAUAUAAUUCUAUUUAUAUUCUGUCCAAACAGGCAUGAGCCGCUCAUGCUUGCUACAAUUUUAUCAGUACGAAUUCAGUUGAUUCUGAACUUGUUGACUGUUUGUUUCGGAAGUAAUUGACUGUAUCCAUGCAGAUCUCUUGCCUAUUCUAGAAUCUUGGGCAUAGUCUAUCGCUUACUUUUUGUCUCACUGGUCUAAAAGUAAGAAGACUGCCAGGGAACAUGAUACGCUGGCAAUGAAGCCAAAUACAGCACUGUAAUAAAACAAAAUACCGUAUGCAAUCUUCUCUAAGAAAAUAUUGUGUUUUAGUGAGUUCCUAACAGUGUUAAAUUGUCAAAAAAUAGUUGAAUUUUAAAAAUAGCUCCAAGUUUUC